UACAGAGGUCUCAAGCGUUGUUCGGAUUCAUUGGGCGUAAAGGGUGUGUAGGUGGCGCGCUAAGUCGGGUGUGAAAUUUCGGAGCUUAACUCCGAAACUGCAUUCGAUACUGGCGUGCUUGAGGACUGGAGAGGAGACUGGAAUUCAUGGUGUAGCAGUGAAAUGCGUAGAGAUCAUGAGGAAGACCAAUGGCGAAGGCGGGUCUCUGGACAGUUCCUGACACUGAGACACGAAGGCCAGGGGAGCAAACGGG
Molecule: ribosomal RNA, 253 nt
Filed under: uncultured bacterium
Lineage: Bacteria
Description: partial 16S ribosomal RNA
Rfam family: Bacterial small subunit ribosomal RNA
Source: RNAcentral